Molecule: ribosomal RNA, 468 nt
Filed under: uncultured bacterium
Lineage: Bacteria
Description: partial 16S ribosomal RNA
Rfam family: Bacterial small subunit ribosomal RNA
Source: RNAcentral
GACGAACGCUGGCGGCGUGCUUAACACAUGCAAGUCGAACGGAAAGGCCCUGCUUUUGUGGGGUGCUCGAGUGGCGAACGGGUGAGUAACACGUGAGUAACCUGCCCUUGACUUUGGGAUAACUUCAGGAAACUGGGGCUAAUACCGGAUAGGAGCUCCUGCCGCAUGGUGGGGGUUGGAAAGUUUCGGCGGUUGGGGAUGGACUCGCGGCUUAUCAGCUUGUUGGUGGGGUAGUGGCUUACCAAGGCUUUGACGGGUAGCCGGCCUGAGAGGGUGACCGGCCACAUUGGGACUGAGAUACGGCCCAGACUCCUACGGGAGGCAGCAGUGGGGAAUAUUGCACAAUGGGCGGAAGCCUGAUGCAGCAACGCCGCGUGCGGGAUGGCGGCCUUCGGGUUGUAAACCGCUUUCGCCUGUGACGAAGCGUGAGUGACGGUAAUGGGUAAAGAAGCACCGGCUAACUACGUG